RNAcentral lists this ribosomal RNA (500 nucleotides) under uncultured bacterium. RNAcentral describes it as "partial 16S ribosomal RNA". It matches the Rfam family "Bacterial small subunit ribosomal RNA", at positions 30 to 523 of the family's 1533-position model. The record is from RNAcentral.
AUUGAACGCUGGCGGCAGGCUUAACACAUGCAAGUCGAGCGGGGGAAGGUAGCUUGCUACCGGACCUAGCGGCGGACGGGUGAGUAAUGCUUAGGAAUCUGCCUAGUAGUGGGGGACAACAUCUCGAAAGGGAUGCUAAUACCGCAUACGUCCUACGGGAGAAAGCAGGGGAUCUUCGGACCUUGCGCUAAUAGAUGAGCCGAAGUCGGAUUAGCUAGUUGGUGGGGUAAAGGCCUACCAAGGCGACGAUCUGUAGCGGGUCUGAGAGGAUGAUCCGCCACACUGGGACUGAGACACGGCCCAGACUCCUACGGGAGGCAGCAGUGGGGAAUAUUGGACAAUGGGGGGAACCCUGAUCCAGCCACGCCGCGUGUGUGAAGAAGGCCUUAUGGUUGUAAAGCACUUUAAGCGAGGAGGAGGCUACUUUAGUUAAUACCUAGAGAUAGUGGACGUUACUCGCAGAAUAAGCACCGGCUACUCUGUGCCAGCAGCCGCCGUAA